RNAcentral lists this unclassified non-coding RNA (376 nucleotides) under uncultured bacterium. RNAcentral's name for it is "contains 16S-23S intergenic spacer region". The record is from RNAcentral.
UCCGAGUUGACCCCGGCAGUCUCCUGCGAGUCCCCGGCGUAAUCCGCUGGCAACACAGGAUAAGGGUUGCGCUCGUUGCGGGACUUAACCCAACAUCUCACGACACCAGCUGACGACAGCCAUGCACCACCUGUGCACCGGCCCCGAAGGGCUGUCGUAUUUCUACGACUUUCCAGUGCAUGUCAAGCCUUGGUAAGGUUCUUCGCGUUGCGUCGAAUUAAACCACAUGCUCCACCGCUUGUGCGGGCCCCCGUCAAUUCCUUUGAGUUUUAAUCUUGCGACCGUACUCCCCAGGCGGGAUGCUUAAAGCGUUAGCUGCGCCACUGACGAGUAAACCCGCCAACGGCUAGCAUCCAUCGUUUACGGCGUGGACUAC